This 223-nucleotide non-coding RNA is filed under the name unclassified sequences. RNAcentral's name for it is "IS605-orfB-I RNA". It matches the Rfam family "IS605-orfB-I RNA". The record is from Rfam by way of RNAcentral.
ACCUUAUAUAGAUGUAGUAACGCAAGACAGUAACGCAUUUCCCUGUAAGGUAGUGUUAAGUAGAAACUUUAACGAUAAGUACUAUUGUGUAGCUUUUAAAGUUGAAAUAGUAUGAGUCAAAGUGGAAUAGGUUAACCGUAAGACCUUGAAUUGAAAAGUUCUAAAAUUAAUCUAGAGAAACAAAAGUUAUUUUGCUAUUUUCACUAUUUCUAGUUACGGUGAA